GCGCUUUUGCCACCGACCAUGCUGCUGAAAAUAAACUCGGGACGACAAACCACCAUCAAUACUUGCCCCUGGAUCCUCCUUUGUUGCAUAGAAGGUUCAUAAAAUGGUCAAGCAAGCAGUGUGUGGACAUAGCUCAUCCAUUGCGCCUUCAAAAUGGGGUUGUUUGUAUUACCAGUGAGCAUGCAGCCGGGUUUGCUUGGCUUGCCUGAACCCUGAACAUGAAACGGAGAUGACCAGGAACUCUUCCGGUCGGAGGAGUCAGGUUCAGAAAGUACGUCUUCUGGCAAGGCCAUCCCAAAUUUCUGACUAAGUGUGAUACGAGUUCGAUCAAGCAUAUUGGUCUGGUCUGAUUAUCAAAUUCCUAUCCCAGCAUGUCUGGAUCUGUCUCCUGAGUGCAGUCAAGGAACUGAAAAUAACCAUCUUGUUUUUAGUUCAGAACAUGUGGUGAAUAAUAAACAGAGACGGAAAAAAAGCAGGUCUACCUGUUGAAGAUUUCAGAUUUCUGAUAUGGCAGCACAAUAGUAGGUAGGCUUCUCCGACAUGGCGGCAUAAAUCUCCAGUUUGUUUUCUGAAAUCCCAGCAACU
Molecule: long non-coding RNA, 585 nt
Filed under: Hordeum vulgare
Lineage: Eukaryota; Viridiplantae; Streptophyta; Magnoliopsida; Poales; Poaceae
Description: long non-coding RNA (HVUL_LNC017153)
Source: RNAcentral